CUAGGGGCUUUUCUUUUUCUGCAAUUUUUGGGCAGCGGCUAGAUCUUCUUCACUGCCGUUUAUUUUGUUUUAUUUUCUUUCCCUUUUUUAUUUUCUUUUUCUUCCAUCUUUUAGCUUGGUUUCCUUGUAUAUUUUGGAGAAAAUUUGGCGCAUGAUUAUGAUGAAAUAGCUUGGAGAAGAAGAUGAUUUGAUAUUGAAGAAACCCUCAACUAUUUCUCCAUUAUGAAUAAGCUUUUCUUUCCCUAUUUUCCAUUAUUGUGUUGUAGGAAUUUGACGGUUAUUUGUGAAUAUUUCAUGGGUAACUAAAUAUAUAUGUGAUUGGGGAUUAUUUCAAACUCGAGUUAUGAUUUUCAAUUAAUUUGUGCUUUAUAGUUCUCUUGAUUGACGUAUUUAAUUCCUCGAGUUAAAUGUUUAUUUUGUUCUUCUUGAUUGUUUAGGUGUACAACUAAAUGAUUAAGUUGUUACGAUAAAUGCUAUUUUGAGAUUAGUAGUACGUAAUAGCUAUUGAUUUUAAAACAUAAUAGCAAUCACAUUUCGAUAGAUUAUGAAGAAUUUUCAAUUGAAUGUAUGUGGAUUAACACUUAAGUUAGUAAACUGAGCUUGCGAGUUUACUCUUAAUUCAAUUCAUCUCUUUUGUCGUAAUGCGUUUGUUAAAUUAAAUCUAGAGAGCUUGUUCUAGGUUGUUUAAUGCAUAGGGUCGAGUAAAGAGCUUGUUUUAUUCGACUAACAUGUAAUAAGAGGUUGAGAUAAUUUAGCUUGUAAUUAUUCUCGAAUUGUUAUUAAUCUUGAGAAUGAAAAUCUAUUGUGGUAAUUGACAUGAAAAUCAUUCUUGUGGUGAUGAAAUAUCCCCCAAUCACAUUUUCUCGUAUUCAAUCGAAACCACUUUGUUUAUUUCAAGUUUCAAAUAUUCUCUAUUUCGAAUUUAUCACUUUACUUAAUUAAAUGAACCAACCCCCCCCCCCCCCCAUUUAAUCAAUUUCGUAUAUAAUCGCUAAUUUUACUUUUUAGUACGCAAUUGACAAAAUUGAACCAAUCCUCUGCGAGAAAUGACCCUUACUUACCAUUUUACUAUUUAAGACGACACUUUUAAGUUAAAGUAAGGAAAAGUAAUUGGAACAUGAUUUGCAACGUAUCAUACCACUAAGAAGGCCCAUCUGUGUCUCUUGUUCCUCAAAAUACCAGAUUAGUAAGAUUGACGGAGAGAUUUUCAGAAACUAUAAUUGAUAAGUGUAAAAAAUUUUCAGGUGACUCAAGAGUGCUGCGAGCUCAUUGGUAACAUAAACUACACAUACAUUGAACACCACCUGCGGGUUGUGUUUCUAAUACUUAUGGGGUAGAGAAAUUUAUGUUGAUAAUAAGGAUUAUGUUAGUGCAAAGGAUGUUUAUCAUUUUUAUCACAUGAGUGAGAAAUAGUUUGCAGUGACCUUUUCAUUUGCCUUGAUAUUCUGGAUGCUUUUCCUAUUGCCACUGAUGUAUAAGGGGUUAACUUUUUAAUGUUGGCCGGUCUGUCAAAAAACUUAUAUUCUUCAACAGAUACAUAUAUACCAUUAUUCUAAUCUCUUUGCAUUAGGUUAUGUGGGUUCCCGAUAGUUUUGAAAUUGGCAUGGUAGCUGAGAAGCUUGGAAAGUCACGAAAAUAUCAAGCAGUUUUGUGUAUUGGAGCUUUGGUAUGCUUUUCUUUCACAAGUUCCAAAUGUGCUGAUGUUUUAUAUUCUUUUAUUUUGCACGUCUCCCGCAAUUUGCAUUCAUAGUUAUUGUUUGCAUGUUCUGCCAUAGCUUAAGGUCAUCAUUUUUUUGCUUCAAUUACCCACUUAUCACAUUUGUUUGUUAGGAAUCUACUUAACAUGUACUGUAGAAAAUUAAAACAGAUUUCGAUUCCCACUAGGAGUCUCUUUGUGUUUAGAUAGAAAUUGUAAAAAAGAUCGUACAUUUUUCUAGAUCUGCAAACUCCUGUACUUUUCUAGCAUUCCAACAAUCUUGAUCUGUCAACCACAGUUGUCCAAUUGUCCAGCCUCCAUCGGUGAUCCACACAGAGAACAAGAUUGUAGGAUUAGGAUUUUCAUCUUGUUCUAGCAAGAAUAAUGAAGAAUAAUAAAUUCAUUACAAAAUUGUAAACUUAUUUAUAUAAGUCCAAACGGGAUUGGCCUAAUCCGGUCCAAUAUUUAAUCAAUCCAUUAAUUAAAUCUGGUCCGUGAAUUAAUUAAUCCAAUUAAUUAAUUCGGGCCUAUAAAUAACCAUCCCAAUUAAUUAAUUUAUCUAACGAUUGUUAAAUUAAUUAAUCGACAAAUUACAAUCUUCCAAUUCUCUUUUGUAUACGACCCAUCAGGUUUCCGAUCACGAUAUCUAACGACAUGAAAUAUUAUUUUGAUCUAAUCAAAAUUGAUAAAUCAAAACAGCAUUUUAAUUUAUGACAAAUUCACACUCGUCGUCCCAGAUUGACAUCUAGCAAUGUGUCAGGGCAAUACAUGUGACGGAAAAUGUCACGUGAUAUGACAAAAUCAAACUCGUUCGUUUACCGUGAAACUAUAAUCCCUUUGUCAAUAUGAUCCGAUCAAUUACAAAAUAUAGAAACGUGUCAAUCCCGAUUAUCGAUCAUAUCCUUCACUUCACUAUUAAGUCAGUGUAAGUCGAAAACUCCUUUUCGACUUAUGAGUACACCUUGACCAAUGAUUUCGUUAUCGAUUUAAUUGAGUAAAACGCAGAUCAUAAUUUCUUACUAUCUAAGAGUGACGAAUCCUCUAUUGAUCAUUAAUAACCUUCAUAUGAUUCUUGACAUACCCGAAUGAUGCCGUAUUAACGACCCUUGGCAAAGCAACAUCCAACACCGCCAACUGACCUCAUGCAAGGUAUCAUGACGACCUCAAGUCAAAGGACCAAUUCCACUAUCGAAUGUUAGAGAUUAACCACUGACACUCAGAUAGUUAUCCAUGUGAAAUCUCUCGGUGGGUGUCCAAUUUUUUGUUUUAUAAUAAAAUAUCCACAUGUUCAUUCAAGUGUCACCACACUUUAACUUGUGAGAUCAGCUGCUUAUUUUACAAGUAAGAAAUGCCACACGUGAUAGUCUAUCCGUAAUAACGAUAUCCGUAUGUCGUUAUUACUUACAAUCACAGACGAUUUAAGAUUCAAUCAUAUAUAAUUUGUAUCUCACAAUCACAACUCCUUGUGAUUAACAAAUUACGGAGAUUUGAAUCUACGGACUCUAUUACUGUAUAUUAAUUAAAUAAUAGAUCUGCCAUUAAAUUGCAUUAAAUAUAUAUUAAAAGUAUUUAUGUCUAAGGUUGAUUGAACAUAGGGCAUAACACUUACAUUGUUGAGGCCAUUGAGUUCCAUAAAUCUUUUGCUGCUUGUUAUUGUCUUUAUUGUGCUUAUCAUUAUUCUCAAUUACUAAAUGAUCUUUUUCUUCUUAAACCUUUCUGACCAGUAGAUUUGAAGUGAUACUUCCCACUUUGAUGAUGUGGCCAAUUCAGCUGCAUCUGGAGUACUCUCAGCAGGCCUAAAUUCAAGUGGGUUGAUUUGACAUUAGAAGUAUAUCUAUUUUCCAAUAUCUACUGCCGCGUAAAUCUAUCCAUGCUUUAACAUACUAAAACGUACAAUCUACUAUGUCUUUUGGCAAUAGGGCAUGUUUAUAAUGUUACUAUCAGUUAACUUAUUAGUGCAACUGUUGAAUUUGUACGGUGUCAUUGGUGGUGAACACAAGCAACUAAACAAUGAGAAAUUAAACAAGAAGAGAAAGAGGGAUAAAUAGGAGAAGAAAGAGGGAAGAAUGAGAGAAGAGACAGAAUUGCUGGAAGACUUUGUAAUUUUAUUCAACGAUCAAAGUUGGUUAUUACAAAGUAAGAUCCUCCUUAUAUAUAGUCUAAACUAAAAUAAAUAAGAAAAAAUAGGUUUCCACAUAAGGAAACAAACUAAAUUCUUUUAACUAACAAUGACUGAUAUUAAGGAAAAUAA
Molecule: long non-coding RNA, 3947 nt
Filed under: Olea europaea subsp. europaea
Lineage: Eukaryota; Viridiplantae; Streptophyta; Magnoliopsida; Lamiales; Oleaceae
Source: RNAcentral